Equus caballus (horse) is the source of this 1736-nucleotide long non-coding RNA. RefSeq lists it as uncharacterized. The record is from RefSeq and is a predicted model, not a curated record. NCBI's taxonomy places the organism in Eukaryota, Metazoa, Chordata, Mammalia, Perissodactyla, Equidae.
AAAUACAUAUAUAUUAAAAAAAAAAAAACUCAGACCUCAUGGGGGAAAUGGUGAAUUUUCCUAAGAGUUUCUCAAAACUGAGUAUGUAAUGGGAUAAUAUAUACACAACAGAGUUUGCUAGCUCCCUUCCCAAUAUCCAUUCCACAGUUAUUCUUUGCUAACAGAGCCUAAACUGUACUCAAGUGGGCAACGUGCCCAGCUUAAGAACUACAUUUCCCAGCCUGCUUUGCAGCUAAUGGAGGAUGAGGAAAUAAGAAGAGGAAGUCACCGGGUGGGGCUUCCAGGAAAGCUAUUUAAAGGAAACUGACUUAGCUUGCCUUCUUGCUCUUGCUACUUCCUCUUUCCUGCUUCCUGGAACACAAACAAGAGAGUAAGGGCUGCAGCAGCCAUCUUUGACCAUGAGGUGACCUUAAGGAAGGAAGCCAUAUGCUAAGGAUGGCGAAGCAGAAAGGAGGAAGUUUCGGGGUGUUCCCUCCAUGGCCGGUCCUCAGCCUGCAACUGUGGCUGCAAGGUGCUGCUGGUUACCAGAACAUUCCAUGAGAGCAGAGACCAUGUCGGCCUGCUGCCCUGUUCAUCUCUCCAUCUCCAGCGCCUAGAACAGUGCCUGGCACACAGUAGGUGCUUGGUAAAUACCUUCAGCCAGAACGUCCUUCCAGAGAUGAGGAAAACCGCCCAUUUGGAAAUUGAGCCCAGCUGUGGCACGGCGGGUCACCAGGGAAGCUGUUGGCUGGGCCGAGGAUAAACACCCACAGUUCUAUUCUCAUGCUUAUGACCAUGGAAAUCCGAUGAUGCAAGGUGAAGCAAGAGUGUCAGACUUUCAAAUGACACGGGACUUUAAGUGACAUCCAGGAUGCGGAUUUGCAAGCGUGCACUGGAGCACAGCCAUGGGAAGCUGCUGCUGCAGAAACACCUAGGAUAUUGACGUAUUAAAGGGAAAAUAACCCCUUCAAACUUGGAAGUUCGGGUCUUGAGAAAGUUUACGUCAGGAGAAAUGGUAAUGGAAGAGCUUAAAACCAUAUGGAAAAACAGGGUUGAGCUGUCACCUCUGUGCCCAUUCUGAGAAAUUAUUUACAUCCGCUAAAAUUAUUAUUUUAACAACAAUAAAAAUAGCAAUGGGUAAUAUUUUUUGCACAUGCAGUAACGCUACGUCUGUUCCCCUUUUUAAAGAAACCCUGUGACCCCUCUCUCCACAAAACCAAGUACUGAGGCUGAGGCCUGAGUCCUUCUGGUUACACCGCUGGGAGAGGCUUGAUCUAACCCAAUUCUAAAACAGAAACCCCCAAAGAGGCAAAUUCUUGGCUUUUAUGAGUUCCUAGGCAGGCUUUUGAAAUUCACGGCAGAGAUGAUCAUCUUGAAAGCCAAGGCUUUCGAUUUGCAAGAUUUGCAAAAGGAGACUUUUUUUUUAAAGGUCUCAACUUUGGUUUUGGGUAUCAAAACUCUGGAUUCAAGAGCAAAUCCUUGAAGGAAGCUUGGAAUAAAGUCUAUGCCACAACAGACCGUCCAUCUGCAGGGGAACUGAUGAGAAGUCAGGCGACCCUGUCCUGAGGCUGAAAAUUUUCGAAAUAAACGAAAAAAAAAACCUGGGGAGGAGAAAUGAACGAUUCCAGGGGGCUGAGGAGCAGGUGAAACUGGACUGGCCGUGAGCCGAUCAUUGUUGAAAUCGCGUUCAUCAUUCUGUUCUCUCCAUUUUUGUAUGUUUCUUGAAAUUUUCCGUAAUAAAAAUUUUGCUCUGGUUA